AGAGUUUGAUCCUGGCUCAGGAUGAACGCUAGCGGCAGGCCUAAUACAUGCAAGUCGAACGGGCUGGAGUAGCAAUACUCCAGUUAGUGGCGCACGGGUGCGUAACGCGUAUGCAACCUACCUUUUAUUGGGGGAUAGCCCGAAGAAAUUCGGAUUAAUACCGCAUAAUAUCCUUUGAGGGCAUCUGAAGGGGAUUAAAGCUACGGCGAUAAAAGAUGGGCAUGCGUGUCAUUAGCUAGUUGGUUGAGGUAACGGCUCACCAAGGCGACGAUGACUAGGGGUUCUGAGAGGAUGAUCCCCCACACUGGUACUGAGAUACGGACCAGACUCCUACGGGAGGCAGCAGUAGGGAAUAUUGGGCAAUGGCGGAAACGCUGACCCAGCCAUGCCGCGUGCAGGAUGAAGGCCUUCUGGGUUGUAAACUGCUUUUACCAGGGAAGAAAAUACCUUUGCGAAGGGAACUGACGGUACCUGGUGAAUAAGCACCGGCUAACUCCGUGCCAGCAGCCGCGGUAAUACGGAGGGUGCAAGCGUUGUCCGGAUUUAUUGGGUUUAAAGGGUGCGUAGGCGGCGUAAUAAGUCCGUGGUGAAAGCCAACAGCUCAACUGUUGAACUGCCAUGGAUACUGUUAGGCUUGAGUACAGACGAGGUAGGCGGAAUGGAUCGUGUAGCGGUGAAAUGCAUAGAUACGAUCCAGAACUCCGAUUGCGAAGGCAGCUUACUAGGCUGUAACUGACGCUGAGGCACGAAAGCGUGGGGAGCGAACAGGAUUAGAUACCCUAGUAGUCC
RNAcentral lists this ribosomal RNA (789 nucleotides) under uncultured bacterium. RNAcentral describes it as "bacterial SSU rRNA". It matches the Rfam family "Bacterial small subunit ribosomal RNA", at positions 8 to 796 of the family's 1533-position model. The record is from RNAcentral.